GUCAUAUGCUGUCUCAAAGAUAAGCCAUGCAUGUCUCAGUACAAGCCAAAUUAAGGUGAAACCGCGAAAGGCUCAUUAAAUCAGUUAUGGUUCUUUAGAUCGUACCCACAAAUUACUUGGAUAACUGUGGUAAUUCUAGAGCUAAUACAUGCAAACAGAGCUCCGACCGGAGACGGAAGGAGUGCUUUUAUUAGAACAAAACCAAUCGGUGGCGGGUUCGCGCUCGUCAUCGUACAAUUUGGCGACUCUGAAUAACUUUACGCUGAUCGCACGGUCAUCGCACCGGCGACGCGUCUUUCAAAUGUCUGCCUUAUCAACUGUCGAUGGUAGGUUCUGCGCCUACCAUGGUCGUAACGGGUAACGGGGAAUCAGGGUUCGAUUCCGGAGAGGGAGCCUGAGAAACGGCUACCACAUCCAAGGAAGGCAGCAGGCGCGCAAAUUACCCACUCCCGGCACGGGGAGGUAGUGACGAAAAAUAACGAUACGGGACUCAUCCGAGGCCCCGUAAUCGGAAUGAGUACACUCUAAACCCUUUAACGAGGAUCAAUUGGAGGGCAAGUCUGGUGCCAGCAGCCGCGGUAAUUCCAGCUCCAAUAGCGUAUAUUAAAGUUGUUGCGGUUAAAAAGCUCGUAGUCGAAUUUGUGUCUCGCGCCGCCGGUUCAUCGUCCGCGGUGUUAACUGGCGAGUCGCGAGACGUCCUGCCGGUGGGCUUAGCUCGCGAGGGCGCGGCCCAACUCAAUCCUGCCGCGGUGCUCUUCAUUGAGUGUCGAGGUGGGCCGGCACGUUUACUUUGAACAAAUUAGAGUGCUUAAAGCAGGCUAAAACUUCGCCUGAAUACUGUGUGCAUGGAAUAAUGGAAUAGGACCUCGGUUCUAUUUUGUUGGUUUUCGGAACCCCGAGGUAAUGAUUAAUAGGAACGGAUGGGGGCAUUCGUAUUGCGACGUUAGAGGUGAAAUUCUUGGAUCGUCGC
This 970-nucleotide ribosomal RNA is filed under the name Trigonopterus sp. 864 AR-2022a. Its description in RNAcentral is "SSU rRNA". It matches the Rfam family "Eukaryotic small subunit ribosomal RNA", at positions 23 to 931 of the family's 1831-position model. Lineage: Eukaryota; Metazoa; Arthropoda; Insecta; Coleoptera; Curculionidae. The record is from RNAcentral.